AUUGAACGCUGGCGGCAGGCCUAACACAUGCAAGUCGAACGGUAACAGGAAACAGCUUGCUGUUUCGCUGACGAGUGGCGGACGGGUGAGUAAUGUCAGGGAAACUGCCUGAUGGAGGGGGAUAACUACUGGAAACGGUAGCUAAUACCGCAUAACGUCGCAAGACCAAAGAGGGGGACCUUCGGGCCUCUUGCCAUCGGAUGUGCCCAGAUGGGAUUAGCUUGUUGGUGGGGUAACGGCUCACCAAGGCGACGAUCCCUAGCUGGUCUGAGAGGAUGACCAGCCACACUGGAACUGAGACACGGUCCAGACUCCUACGGGAGGCAGCAGUGGGGAAUAUUGCACAAUGGGCGCAAGCCUGAUGCAGCCAUGCCGCGUGUAUGAAGAAGGCCUUCGGGUUGUAAAGUACUUUCAGCGGGGAGGAAGGGAGUAAAGUUAAUACCUUUACUCAUUGACGUUACCCGCAGAAGAAGCACCGGCUAACUCCGUGCCAGCCGCCGCCGUAA
Molecule: ribosomal RNA, 506 nt
Filed under: uncultured bacterium
Lineage: Bacteria
Description: partial 16S ribosomal RNA
Rfam family: Bacterial small subunit ribosomal RNA
Source: RNAcentral